This 123-nucleotide unclassified non-coding RNA is filed under the name rhizosphere metagenome. RNAcentral's name for it is "partial ribosomal RNA internal transcribed spacer region". The record is from RNAcentral.
GAAUUUCAGGCUGAAAGAUGUCUAAAUUCCACACCAUGUUUUAAGCUGAAGACGCAAGUCGGAUGCGAACACAUUUUAUUCACCGAAUAAAUUAAAACUUUCAACAACGGAUCUCUUGGUUCU